CCUACGGGUGGCUGCAGUGGGGAAUUGUGGACAAUGGACGCAAGUCUGAUCCAGCCAUGCCGCGUGAGUGAAGAAGGCCUUCGGGUUGUAAAGCUCUUUUGUCAGGGAGCAAAUCCUGCCUGCUAAUACUAGGCGGGGAUGAGAGUACCUGAAGAAUAAGGACCGGCUAACUACGUGCCAGCAGCCGCGGUAAUACGUAGGGUCCAAGCGUUAAUCGGAAUUACUGGGCUGAAAGCGUGCGUCGGUUGUGAAAUCCCCGGGCUCAACCUGGGAACUGCAUUGGAGACUGCGUGGCUAGAGUGUGGCAGAGGGGGGUGGAAUUCCGCGUGUAGCAGUGAAAUGCGUAGAGAUGCGGAGGAACACCAAUGGCGAAGGCAGCCCCCUGGGUUAACACUGACACUCAUGCACGAAAGCGUGGGGAGCAAACAGGAUUAGAUACCCGGGUAGUC
Molecule: ribosomal RNA, 449 nt
Filed under: uncultured bacterium
Lineage: Bacteria
Description: partial 16S ribosomal RNA
Rfam family: Bacterial small subunit ribosomal RNA
Source: RNAcentral